This 253-nucleotide ribosomal RNA is filed under the name uncultured bacterium. Its description in RNAcentral is "partial 16S ribosomal RNA". It matches the Rfam family "Bacterial small subunit ribosomal RNA", at positions 524 to 776 of the family's 1533-position model. The record is from RNAcentral.
UACAGAGGGUGCGAGCGUUGUCCGGAAUCACUGGGCGUAAAGGGCGCGUAGGUGGUGACCUAAGCGUGCGGUGAAAGCCCGAGGCUCAACCUCGGGUCGGCCGUGCGAACUGGGUCACUGGAGCAGAAUAGAGGCAGGUGGAAUUCCGGGUGUAGCGGUGGAAUGCGCAGAUAUCAGGAGGAACACCGGUGGCGAAGGCGGGUCUCUGGGCAGUAACUGACGCUGAGGAGCGAAAGCGUGGGGAGCGAACAGG